CCUACGGGUGUGCAGCAGUGGGGAAUAUUGGACAAUGGGCGAAAGCCUGAUCCAGCCAUGCCGCGUGUGUGAAGAAGGCCUUCGGGUUGUAAAGCACUUUCAGUGGGGAAGAAAGCCUUGGGGCUAAUACCCUCGAGGAAGGACAUCACCCACAGAAGAAGCACCGGCUAACUCCGUGCCAGCAGCCGCGGUAAUACGGAGGGUGCGAGCGUUAAUCGGAAUUACUGGGCGUAAAGCGCGCGUAGGCGGUCUGAUAAGCCGGUUGUGAAAGCCCCGGGCUCAACCUGGGAACGGCAUCCGGAACUGUCAGGCUAGAGUGCAGGAGAGGAAGGUAGAAUUCCCGGUGUAGCGGUGAAAUGCGUAGAGAUCGGGAGGAAUACCAGUGGCGAAGGCGGCCUUCUGGACUGACACUGACGCUGAGGUGCGAAAGCGUGGGUAGCAAACAGGAUUAGAUACCCUAGUAGUC
Molecule: ribosomal RNA, 466 nt
Filed under: Vreelandella stevensii
Lineage: Bacteria; Pseudomonadati; Pseudomonadota; Gammaproteobacteria; Oceanospirillales; Halomonadaceae
Description: partial 16S ribosomal RNA
Rfam family: Bacterial small subunit ribosomal RNA
Source: RNAcentral